CGGGAACUUCGAGACUGGAGC
RNAcentral lists this microRNA (21 nucleotides) under Dasypus novemcinctus (nine-banded armadillo). Its description in RNAcentral is "Dno-Mir-1247_3p* (star (passenger))". Lineage: Eukaryota; Metazoa; Chordata; Mammalia; Cingulata; Dasypodidae. The record is from RNAcentral.